AGACUGUACGUACCUUGCAGAGCCUUAAG
This 29-nucleotide non-coding RNA is filed under the name Mus musculus (house mouse). The record is from RNAcentral. Lineage: Eukaryota; Metazoa; Chordata; Mammalia; Rodentia; Muridae.